CACUCCGGCUUGAGUAGGGAUGGGGGCUCUGAGGGCCGGGUGGAGGGGCGAGUCUAUUGCCUCGGCGCCAGAAGAAGCUUCUAGUUAGGAUAUUUCCCGGAUAAGAGCUGUCUGGCAAUUCCGCAGCCUCGCCCGAACCGAGGGGAGCCAUCUUGUCCCUCUCUGACUCUGAGUUCGUUUGGGUGCAUCGUUCUUUGUCGGUGUGUCUGUAUUAUCAUUGUCUGGAGCUUUUUUUUUUCCUUCUGUCACUGCCUGCCAGGGUCCUACAUUGCAUCCUUGGUGUUUCUGUCGUCAUUGCCUCAGGCCCUGGGUGUGCUCUGGAAGGCUGUGCAGUAUUGGAGGGACAGAAUGACCUUCCGGCCUUGAGUCCCUGGCUGCACCGGGUUCCAGUUGUGGCACGUGGGAUCUCAGUUGUGGCAUGCAUGCGGGAUCUAAUUCCCUGACCAGGGAUUGAACCCAGGCCCCCUGCACCAGGAGCGCAGAGUCUUACCCACUGGACCACCAGGGAAGUCCUCAUCAGUUCUUUCUUGAAGAUCCUUCAUCAUACAUCCUAACUUCCAUUUCUAAUGAUACCUCCUGGAUGCAAUCAGAAAAAUCCACGAAGUUGGAAAUUUUACAGAACAAAUGAUGUGAUUUCAUCAACAAAUAAAUAAAUUGCAGGAAAUAAAAAAGAGGAAGACUUGCAGAUUAAAAGAGGCCUAAGGUAAGCAGCUUCUGGUGGAGUUGAGCUCUUUGGAUUAAACAUUUGGAAAGGUGGAGUCACAAUUGUGCUUGGUGUUGUGUGUUUGAGAGACUCGGGUUGAUAAGAGGGCCUCCAGCUAACUGGUUGGCUGGAAAAUUAAGCAACCUUGAAGGGGUGGCAGUGUGCUGCCUUGGUGGGGUUCUGCUAAUGUGCCUCCAGGGCCUUAUCUAUAUUUUGGUGUGGCAAAGUUGGGGCUCUGGAAAUGUUUGAAAAGUGGGUUAAACUGAACAAGGAUGAUAAACAAAAUGUGAUAUAUACCUACAAGGGAAUAUUAUUCAGGCUUUAAAAGGUAGGAAAUUCUAACACAUGCUAUUAAAAUUACAACAUGGAUAUACCUUGGGGAUAUUAUGCUAAGUGAAAUAAGCCAGACACAAAAGGACAAAUAUUGUAUGAGUCCAUUUGUGUGAGGUACCCAGAGUAGACAAAUUCAUGGAGACAGAAAGUAGAAUGGUGGUUGCCAAGGGCUGGAGGGAGAGGGGAAUGGGGAAAUAAAUGUUCAAUGGGUACAGAGUUUUAGUUUGGGAGGAUAAAAAAGGUCUGGAGAUGGAUGGUGGUGAUGGUUGCAUGUCAAUGCACUUAAUGCCACUAAACUGCACAUUUAAAAAUGGUUAAAGCGGUAAAUUUCAUGUUAUGUAUAUUUUACCACACUAAAAAAAAACAUGGGGGGGCUUCCCUGGUGGCGCAGUGGUUGAGAGUUCGCCUGCCGAUGCAGGGGACAUGGGUUCGUGCCCUGGUCCGGGAAGAUCCCACAUGCUGCGGAGCAGUUGGGCCCGUGAGCCAUGGCCGCUGAGCCUGCGCGUCCGGAGCCUGUGCUCCGCAAUGGGAGAGGCCACAACAGUGAGAGGCCCGCGUAGCGCAAAAUAAAAAGAAUCGGAGCCAUGUGGCAAAAUGUUAACAACAUGUGAAUCUAGGUGAAAGGGUUUAUGAGAGAUCAUUAUACUGUUUUUUUAUUAUACUAUUUUUGUAACUUUUCUGUUGCUCUGAAAUUUUUUUCAAAAUAAAAAAUUUACUUAAUAUUAACAGGAGGACGUUCUGUAGAGGUAAGGUAUAGACCAGUUAGGAUUGCUUCCACUGCAGGGAUUGCAGGUACCUAGUAAGCAUAUAAGCCUGGUGUUAAGAAGCUAAUAUAGUAUCAUAGGCAAUUAUUGACUACCUUAGGCAAUUUAUUUUCACAUUUUAAUCAUGUCAUCACCUUUUUGUUGACUUAACUUCUUCAUAAGGAUGUGGAAUUGACAACUUUUCAUUUUUCUCCUCUGUUUUCUUCAUAUUAUUUUAAUUAUUAUGAAU
Orcinus orca (killer whale) is the source of this 2029-nucleotide long non-coding RNA. RefSeq lists it as uncharacterized. The record is from RefSeq and is a predicted model, not a curated record. The transcript has 4 exons. Lineage: Eukaryota; Metazoa; Chordata; Mammalia; Artiodactyla; Delphinidae.